AAAAUUGUACUGUUUCUCUAAGCUAUUAUAAAACUAUAUUAGAGAUAGACGAUGAAUAAAACUUAUAGUGAUAUUAACACGAGUUUUAUCAGCGGUUGAGAUUUGGACUGUUUCUUUUUUUUCUUUUUCUUUUGCAGGUGGGCAGGUUUUACGGGUGGAAACUGUCAAAUCUGGCAACCCGCCAUGUUUGUGUGAGGCGCAUGCGCCAUGCUGGAUAUAAAUAUGGCGCAUUUUCUACGUCAGUGUUUAAAUGAAGGCGCGGCUUGCACCUGGCCGCAGAAGACAUGAAACCAGCGUUCUGCUAUUCCUCCAUCCUGGCACUUGGAUUACAAAAUGGUCUUUUCUGAUCUCGAAAGACGCAGAAUCCGCGUGGACGCCCAACCUAAAUGACUCAAAACUUUUGCGGAUCUAUUUGAAAUGGUCUCCGUGUUGACGGGGCCUACCUGCUGAGGGAUCUGCUUGGGUAGGCCGCGAGAGCGCCAUGUUUGAAAUAGCUGCAUUUGUUAGUCGGUAAGUUAUUUUUCAGAAACCUUAUUCGAAGUUGUUUGUUUGUCACUGAAGUCAUUGAAACCAUAUUUUUGUGGUUAAACAGAGCAGCAGACGAGGAACGACAGGAACAUGGCGUCUCAGCGGUGGAUUGUUUGGCCGACCUGAGGAGGGACAAUAUGGCGUCUGGAACUAGCAGCAGAUCGAUUAUGGAUAUACUACGAUGAUCUUCAAUCAAGCUGAGGAUCGCUUCCGUCAAGCUGAGGAAACGCUACAAGGUGCCUGGCGGAUCCGCCCAACCCAUCAAAGGUUGGUUAAGUCAAAGAACUGUUCCAAUGGCGGGUCCAGAAGACAUCUCAGGGUAGGAGCUGUUGCGGGUUUUGCUGUGCUAUGCUGCGGACGCCACCGCUGUUGCUGAAGGCCAACGCUAGGCCUCUUGGUUUGAUUCUCUGCUGAGAUUCAAUGAGCUGAGAAGGAUUCUGCUGUUAAUCCUUCUGUCGUUAGGGUUUUGUGUGCUGUUUGAAACAGCUGCUGUGGUCAUGUGACCUGUAGAGGUUUAUGCCAUCUAGCAUUUUGGAAUUUCAAGUUCAUAGCUGAAAGUCAGUUGUGAUGGAAAAGAAAGAUGGCUGCCAAUGAUUUGGCAAUUACAGUUUAGAGGCUACAGGAAGUGAUUUAGCUUAAUAAAUAUCAGUAUCAUAAACAUUGAUAACAUACCUACACAUUAGGGAUAAUUUUUACAUACCUUUUUUAUUUUUUGUAUCUACUAAACAUUUGAAAUUUAAUCAAAUAUUUCAAAGAUAGGGUCAAUAAUUCAAAAAGUCACAAAUUUCAUUUACGUUCAACAAUUUAAAUUCAAGCGUGAAAACAGAUUUUAUUUUUGCGUCAAAACUUGCGGCGUCGUGAUAUUUCAUUUCUUCUGGACAAAGACUCGUGGACUCCUGCAAUUUCAUUUCUUCUGGAAGACGACUGCCAACAGAAAGAUCUGGAGCUGCAGGUCAGAGGUCACAGAGGUAAUGUAUACACUAAUCCACCAUGUCUUUGCAGGUUUUCAGCUGGAAUUAACUCCCAUGUUUUCCUUCUAGAUCUGGAACCUGUCUGUAUUUGCAUCUGUUUUUAACCCAGUUUUUUUUCCUAGAUAAAGCUUCUGGCUGACUUUGUGUUGCAUCUAACUUCUUUUUUCUCAUAGAUAAGCCACUAAAAGAGUUUCAACUGCAACUAAAUCUUUCAAUUCUCCUUUAGAAAUGCUCCUGGAGCAGUUCUUUCUUUUUGUCUCUCUCUUUAUUCUGUCCUUUCAAAUCCCCGGGGGUAGUGACAGAUGGCCUUUCAUACAGAGCCGACUUCUGGUUCUGCUGGAGGGUUCUUCCUGUUAAAGGGAAGUUUUUCCUCCCCACUGUCACUACAUGCAUCCUCAAUAGGAGGCAUUUCUUUAGUUUACUUAACCUUUAACCAAUUUAAAUAAUUGGUACAGGGUUGUUUUCUUUUGGAUAGUCUUCCUGUUAAAGGGAAGUUUUUCUUAACUGUCACCACAGCUAUCCUCAAUGAGGCAUUGCUUAUGUAACCAUUAGUCAGCACUUUACAACCGGUUUCUUUUAUUUAUUUAUUUUUAUUUGGAAAGUCUCUGUUAAAGGGAAGUUUUUCCUGUCCACUACAUGCAUGUUCAGUUGCCUAACAUUUAAAUAACUGGUACAGUGUGAACUUUUUUUUUGAAAGUCUUCCCCGUUAAAGAGAAGUUUUUCCUCCCCACUGUUACCACAUCGAUCCUCAGUAUGAGACAUUGCUUAAGCUUACUUGUAUAACUUAUAACCAGUUUAAAUAGGUAGGAACUUUAAAAAAAAUCUUCCUGUUAAAAGGACGUUUUUCCUUUCCACUGCCACCACAUAUAUAUCCAAUAUGAGACAUUGCUUAAGCUUACGUAACCUUUAGCCAGCGCUUGAUAACCGGUUUGGUUUUUUGUUUUAAAUUAUUUUUGGAAAGUCUUCCUGUUAAAGGGAAGUUUUUCUUUUCCACAGUCACUACAUGCAUGUUCAGUAUGAGACAUUUCACAAGCUUGUGUAACUUUUAACUAAUUUAAAUCUGUUCAGUGUGAUCUUUUUGGAAAUUCUUCCUGUUAAAGGGAAGUUUUUCUUUUUCACUGUCGCCACAUGGAUCCUCAAUACGACGAAUGGCUUAAGCUUACUUGCUUUACUAAACCAUCUUAAAUAAUUGCUACAGUGUGAAUUUAUUUUUUUUUGGGAAAGUCUUCCUGUUAAAGGGAAGUUUCUCCUUCCCACCGUCACCACACGCCUCCUCAGUAUGUCUGCAAUGGUGGAUACGUUUGAGCUCAUGGUUGUGAAUUUAAGGCCUUAUCAAUACCACGUGGUAUAUGGACUGAGAAGAUGGAUGCUGAUCCGCAGUUUUUGUUGAGAUGGAGACUCUGAAGGCACCAGAUGGUGUUAGACUGGUGGGGAAAUAUGGAUGUCAAGAUGGUUGCUAGGGCACUGGACUGUGAACCCAAUGCCAGGAAAUGUGGUUUGCUCCUUCCUGUAGUCACUCCUUAAGGCUUGAAGUCGUCGGAGGAGUUCAUGGACAUUGGUAGCAAACGUGUACAACGAAGUCAUUGGUUGAGUUCAUGGACAUUGGUAGCAAACAGUCAUCGGAUGAGUUCAUGGAAUUUGGUAGCAAACAGUCAUCGGAUGAGUUCAAGGAAUUUGGUAGCAAACAAAGUCAUCGGAUGAGUUCAAGGAAUUUGGUAACAAAGGUAGGUGUUUUGGUCUUAGGUGCAACAACCAGAACUUUGAUUCGCUCAACACAGGAAAAACAUGGUAGGUUAUAUGAAAGUUUGGUGUUCUGGUCUUGGGUAUAACGACCAGAACAUAUCUUGUAUUCUCUGGUUUGUAAUCAAAUGUGUUACUAACCCCUAGGGAAAAGUCUUUCAGACAGGCUUCAGGGUUUGGCCUGAAACCUGUGCCGUCCUGUUGUCCUUCAGGAAUCCUCCUGGAUCAUGUUUUCGUCUCUGAUUUCGCCCAUCGACCCUCCAUUGACGGACGGAAAAGCCCUUCGCCACCCCACUGAUGGACGACCUUAGUGACCUUACCAUCACCCUCAACAGUCUUCCUCAAAUGCUGCAGGAAUCCUCCUGGAUCAUCUUGUCACCUCUGAUUUUGCCCUUCAUCGGCCCUCAACACCUGCCGGAGAAGUCCUUCAUCUCCCACCCACGGAUGGAUGACCAUGGAUCAUCUUGUUUUUGACUCCGAUUUCGCCCUUCAUCGAUCCUCCAUUGACGGACGGAAAAGCCCUUCGCCACCCUGCUGAUGGAUGACCUUUGUGACCUCGUGACCUUACCACCGGGCUCAGCAAGUUUUCUGGAGGAAACCAGGAAGUGUUCCCAGGUGGGCAGGAGUCCUUCUGGAUCGUUUCGUCUUGGAUUUCACCCUUCAUCGACCCUCCAUUGACAGGCGGAAAAUACCUUCAUCAUCCUACCAUCAGGCCCAUCAAUCUUCCUCAAGAAGUGCUGCAGGAAUCCUCCUGGAUCAUCUUCUCCUUCAUUGACGGACGGAAAAGGCCUUCAUCGACGAUGGAUGGACUUUUUUUCUUUUUGGACAGUUUUAUUUAGAGACUAAAUAAUUAACUUUUAUGUUGAAUAUUUAAAAUGUCUUAAUGUUGUUCUGAUCUGCCUCUAUCUGCUACUGUAUGUUUGGGUUACGAGAAGUUUUCUGUUUUUUUCUCCAUAGAAGCUACACCUGGUCCGGCGCUCUGAUUGGCUGUGGUUUCUUCCCAGAGGAGGGCAUUGGCUGACGUGAUGUUGCCAUCACCCAACAGUUCUCCUUCUCCCAUUGUUAACUCUUCACUUCCAUGAACAUGGAAAGUUCUCCUGAUCAAUUCACCUGUUGUGUUUCUGCUCCGUUUUCUCUCGGCUCCAGUCAAUUGUGGCAGAUGGCUGCUGGUACUGAACCCGGUUCUGGUUCUGCUGGCGGUUUCUUCCUGUUAGAGGGGGAGUUCUUCCUCUCCUCAGUCACCAAAUGCAUGCUCAGUGUGAAGGUUGGCUGUAAAGUCAACAACUCAACUUGGGCGAUUUGCUGUCACUCCCUGCUGGUCAGGAGGAGUGAAUGGUGUAAGUAGUGACUCCAUACAGUUUGCUGGGUUUCCUUUGGUACAAACUUUAUUAACUACUUUAAUAAUUAACUGGACUUAUUGUGCUGUUAAGCAAUAAUAGAAAUUUUAGUUCAGUCACAAAAUGCAUUGAGAUGACAUUUGUUGUGAAUUGGCACAAUAUAAAAUUUAAAAAAAAAAACAAAAACUAACAACCAAUAUUAAAAACAAACUCAAAACUCCAACAACCAAUGCAAAAAAUCGUUCAAAACUCCAAAAACUGUUCAAAACUCCAACAACCAAUGCAAAAAACCGUUCAAAACUCCAACAACCAAUGCAAAAAAAACGUUCAAAACCCCCAAUAACGAUACAAAAAACCAUUGAAAAAAUGUUAAUUCACAACAAUGUAAUUGUCAAGGCAUUUUACAGAAGAUAAUCUCAAUUCAGUCAUAAAUUCCAAUUGAUUCUAGUUAUCAAUGCAUUAGGUUCAGUUUGUUAUUGAAGUAGUUUACGUUUGUACCAAAGGAAACCCAGCAGACUGUAUGGAGUCACUACUUACAGCCUUCACUCCUCCUGACCAGCAGGGGGUGACAGCAAAUCGCCCAAGUUGAGUUGUUGACUUUACAGCCAACCUUCACACUGAGCAUGCAUUUAGCGACUGAGGAGAGGAAGAACUCCCCCUCUAACAGGAAGAAAUCUCCAGCAGAACCAGAACUGGGUUCAGUACCAGCAGCCAUCUGCCACAAUUGACUGGAGCCGAGAGAAAAUGGAGCAGAAACAGAACAGGUGAAUUGAUCAGGAGAACUUUCCAUGUUCAUAGAAGUGAAGAGUUAACAAUGGGAGAAGGAGAACUGUUUGGUGAUGGCAACAUCAUGUCAGCUAAUGCCCUCCUCCGGGAAGAAACCACAGCCAAUCAGAGCGCCAGACCAGGUGUAGCUUCUAUGGAGAGAAAAAUAACAUUUUAUACUGAUAGUACUAUUCAUGUUGAUGGGUUAGGUUCUCCUACUCACUGUUCAGUUUGACCCUACAUGUAAUAAAACUUUGUAAUUCAGCUUA
Long non-coding RNA from Xiphophorus couchianus (Monterrey platyfish), 5610 nucleotides. RefSeq lists it as uncharacterized. The transcript is spliced from 4 exons. The record is from RefSeq and is a predicted model, not a curated record. NCBI's taxonomy places the organism in Eukaryota, Metazoa, Chordata, Actinopteri, Cyprinodontiformes, Poeciliidae.